AAGACCUUAUGCUUUUGGAGCGGCCGAUGCCUGAUUAGCUAGUUGGUAGGGUAAAGGCCUACCAAGGCUACGAUCAGUAGUUGGUCUGAGAGGACGACCAGCCACACUGGGACUGAGACACGGCCCAGACUCCUACGGGAGGCAGCAGUGGGGAAUUUUGGACAAUGGGCGAAAGCCUGAUCCAGCAAUGCCGCGUGAGUGAAGAAGGCCUUCGGGUUGUAAAGCUCUUUCAGUCGAGAAGAAAAAGUUGUGACUAAUAAUCACAAUUUAUGACGGUACCGACAGAAGAAGCACCGGCUAACUACGUGCCAGCAGCCGCGGUAAUACGUAGGGUGCAAGCGUUAAUCGGAAUUACUGGGCGUAAAGGGUGCGCAGGCGGUUCUGUAAGUCAGAUGUGAAAUCCCCGGGCUUAACCUGGGAAUU
This 423-nucleotide ribosomal RNA is filed under the name uncultured bacterium. RNAcentral's name for it is "bacterial SSU rRNA". It matches the Rfam family "Bacterial small subunit ribosomal RNA", at positions 207 to 622 of the family's 1533-position model. The record is from RNAcentral.